RNAcentral lists this ribosomal RNA (183 nucleotides) under uncultured bacterium. RNAcentral describes it as "partial 16S ribosomal RNA". It matches the Rfam family "Bacterial small subunit ribosomal RNA", at positions 1319 to 1500 of the family's 1533-position model. The record is from RNAcentral.
CACGAAGCCGGAAUCGCUAGUAAUCGCAGAUCAGAAUGCUGCGGUGAAUACGUUCCCGGGUCUUGUACACACCGCCCGUCACACCAUGGGAGCCUGGAAGUGCCCGAAGUCAGCGGCCCAACCGGAAGGAGGGAGCUGCCGAAGGCAGGCCCGGUGACUGGGGUGAAGUCGUAACAAGGUACC